UACGGGGGGAGCAAGCGUUGUUCGGAUUUACUGGGCGUAAAGGGCGCGUAGGCGGCGCAACAAGUCACUUGUGAAAUCUCCGGGCUUAACCCGGAGCGGCCAAGUGAUACUGUCGUGCUAGAGUGCGGAAGGGGCUACUGGAAUUCUCGGUGUAGCGGUGAAAUGCGCAGAUAUCAGGAGGAACACCGGUGGCGAAGGCGGGUCUCUGGGCAGUAACUGACGCUGAGGAGCGAAAGCGUGGGGAGCGAACAGG
This 253-nucleotide ribosomal RNA is filed under the name uncultured bacterium. Its description in RNAcentral is "partial 16S ribosomal RNA". It matches the Rfam family "Bacterial small subunit ribosomal RNA", at positions 524 to 776 of the family's 1533-position model. The record is from RNAcentral.